GGGAAACGGGCAGGCGGCGGCGACCGCCGAAACAACCGCA
Molecule: regulatory RNA element, 40 nt
Rfam family: Putative RNA-dependent RNA polymerase ribosomal frameshift site
Source: Rfam